Molecule: ribosomal RNA, 828 nt
Filed under: Curviclavula anemophila
Lineage: Eukaryota; Fungi; Ascomycota; Leotiomycetes; Helotiales; Hamatocanthoscyphaceae
Description: LSU rRNA
Rfam family: Eukaryotic large subunit ribosomal RNA
Source: RNAcentral
ACCUCAGUAACGGCGAGUGAAGCGGUAACAGCUCAAAUUUGAAAUCUGGCUCUUUCAGGGUCCGAGUUGUAAUUUGUAGAAGAUGCUUCGGGUGUGGCUCCGGUCUAAGUUCCUUGGAACAGGACGUCAUAGAGGGUGAGAAUCCCGUAUGUGACUGGUUGCCUUCGCCCAUGUGAAGCUCUUUCGACGAGUCGAGUUGUUUGGGAAUGCAGCUCAAAAUGGGUGGUAAAUUUCAUCUAAAGCUAAAUAUUGGCCAGAGACCGAUAGCGCACAAGUAGAGUGAUCGAAAGAUGAAAAGCACUUUGGAAAGAGAGUUAAACAGUACGUGAAAUUGUUGAAAGGGAAGCGCUUGCAACCAGACUUGCACGUAGUUAAUCAUCCGGGGUUCUCCCCGGUGCACUUGAUUACGUUCAGGCCAGCAUCGGUUUGGGUGGUUGGAUAAAGGCCUUGGGAAUGUGGCUCCUCUCGGGGAGUGUUAUAGCCCUCGGUGCAAUGCAGCCUAUCCGGACCGAGGACCGCGCUUCGGCUAGGAUGCUGGCGUAAUGGUUGUAAGCGACCCGUCUUGAAACACGGACCAAGGAGUCUAACAUUUAUGCGAGUGUUUGGGUGUUAAACCCAUACGCGUAAUGAAAGUGAACGGAGGUGAGAACCCUUAAGGGUGCAUCAUCGACCGAUCCUGAUGUCUUCGGAUGGAUUUGAGUAAGAGCAUAACUGUUGGGACCCGAAAGAUGGUGAACUAUGCCUGAAUAGGGUGAAGCCAGAGGAAACUCUGGUGGAGGCUCGCAGCGGUUCUGACGUGCAAAUCGAUCGUCAAAUUUGGGUAUAGGG